AUUGAACGCUGGCGGCAUGCCUUACACAUGCAAGUCGAACGGCAGCACGGGAGCAAUCCUGGUGGCGAGUGGCGAACGGGUGAGUAAUAUAUCGGAACGUGCCCGGUCGUGGGGAUAACGUAGCGAAAGCUACGCUAAUACCGCAUACGAUCUACGGAUGAAAGCGGGGGAUCGCAAGACCUCGCGCGAUUGGAGCGGCCGAUAUCAGAUUAGGUAGUUGGUGAGGUAAAGGCUCACCAAGCCGACGAUCUGUAGCUGGUCUGAGAGGACGACCAGCCACACUGGGACUGAGACACGGCCCAGACUCCUACGGGAGGCAGCAGUGGGGAAUUUUGGACAAUGGGCGCAAGCCUGAUCCAGCAAUGCCGCGUGCAGGAUGAAGGCCUUCGGUUGUAACGUAGCUUUUGUUACGGAACGAAACGGUAGAGCUCUAAUACAGUUUG
RNAcentral lists this ribosomal RNA (443 nucleotides) under uncultured bacterium. Its description in RNAcentral is "bacterial SSU rRNA". It matches the Rfam family "Bacterial small subunit ribosomal RNA", at positions 30 to 473 of the family's 1533-position model. The record is from RNAcentral.